RNAcentral lists this ribosomal RNA (252 nucleotides) under uncultured bacterium. Its description in RNAcentral is "partial 16S ribosomal RNA". It matches the Rfam family "Bacterial small subunit ribosomal RNA", at positions 524 to 776 of the family's 1533-position model. The record is from RNAcentral.
UACGUAGGUCCCGAGCGUUGUCCGGAUUUAUUGGGCGUAGAGCGAGCGCAGGCGGUUUUUUAAGUCUGGAGUAAAAGGCAGUGGCUUAACCAUUGUAUGCUUUGGAAACUGGACAACUUGAGUGCAGAAGGGGAGAGUGGAAUUCCAUGUGUAGCGGUGAAAUGCGUAGAUAUAUGGAGGAACACCGGUGGCGAAAGCGGCUCUCUGGCCUGUAACUGACGCUGAGGCUCGAAAGCGUGGGGAGCAAACAGG